GACGAACGCUGGCGGCGUGCUUAACACAUGCAAGUCGAACGCUGAAGCUCAGCUUUUGUUGGGUGGAUGAGUGGCGAACGGGUGAGUAACACGUGAGUAACCUGCCUCCUUCUUUGGGAUAACGCCCGGAAACGGGUGCUAAUACUGGAUAUUCACUGGUCUUCGCAUGGGGGUUGGUGGAAAGGGUGGUUCUGGUGGGGGAUGGGCUCGCGGCCUAUCAGCUUGUUGGUGGGGUGAUGGCCUACCAAGGCUUUGACGGGUAGCCGGGCUGAGAGGGUGACCGGUCACAUUGGGACUGACAUACGGCCCAGACUCGUACGGGAGGCAGCAGCGUGGACUAUUGCCCAAUGGGCGCAGGCCUGAUGCCGCGACGCCGCGUGAGGGAUGCGGGCCUUCGGGUUGUGAACCUCUUUCGCUCAUGGUGUAGCCGCAACAAUGGUUGUGGUGAGGGUAGUGGGUAAAGAAGCGCCGGCUAACUACGUG
Molecule: ribosomal RNA, 483 nt
Filed under: uncultured bacterium
Lineage: Bacteria
Description: partial 16S ribosomal RNA
Rfam family: Bacterial small subunit ribosomal RNA
Source: RNAcentral